CAGUGCCAGGCAACAGCAAAGGCUGUUCUCCUUGCCUUCCAGACGGCCAUCACGAGACAGGGGAGGUAGAACCGCUGGCCAGGCAUAACCGAUAACGAGACCUGGGCUCUCCAUCGUGGCUCUGGAUGUGGCACCAUCACUGGAGCCCCCGAGGUAUCUGGAAAAGGAGGAAGCAUGACCUGGCCUGGUUCCAGUGCCUAACCACAGGCCAAGAGGCCAAAGGCAUCUCUUACCUCGUCAAAGUCUGGAUGUAAGAAUGGAAUGAGAUCAUGCAUUCAAAGUGCUAGACAUAGAGCCUGGCCCAAGAAGAAGAACUUAACCUCACAAUAAUUGAAUUUAAAUAACAUCCAAUUCCUUAAAGUCAAACAUGAUCUGCAUAAUAAACAAAGCAAGCUCCACAAGGGCCGGCGGGAAGAAAGGAGGUCGUAUUUUGUGUGGAUAUUCACAAUCAUGUCUGUUUCUAAUGCCCUCAGUCUGCCAUAGACUGUCCGUGUGUCUUUCUGUACAAUGUACCAUCACCAUCUCCACUGUUACCAAAGAGCUAAAAUUAAAG
Long non-coding RNA from Hippopotamus amphibius kiboko, 553 nucleotides. RefSeq lists it as uncharacterized. The record is from RefSeq and is a predicted model, not a curated record. Lineage: Eukaryota; Metazoa; Chordata; Mammalia; Artiodactyla; Hippopotamidae. The transcript has 3 exons.